AGAAAUGGGGCAGAGGUGGUGGGGAAGCAGUUGCCAUCCCAAUGCCAGUCACCAUUGGGAAGCAGCAGUGUGCAGCCAGCGGAAGCUAAAGGAAGAAUCCCUCGAAGACUGGAUUCUACCAGCACCCCUGAGAAACUUCAUUCCCAAGGACCCGCCCCUUCACCUGCAGGCCAGCUUCUAGCAUGCCAACAGGAAGAGGCUCUAACAGAGUUAGUUGGCUGUACAGCUCCCCGGCUUCAGACACACCCCCCACCUCAAGAAAUGGAUGCCCGGGAGGAGAAUUGUGUUUGGCUGGCGUCUGUAGAGAUUACAGAGGCAGAGGACUGUGCCCUGGCAAGACGUGGGAAGAGCAAUGAUGGACAUCAGAGAAGGACACUAGGCACCUGA
This 387-nucleotide long non-coding RNA is filed under the name Mus spicilegus (steppe mouse). RNAcentral's name for it is "lncRNA (ENSMSIG00000018216.1)". Lineage: Eukaryota; Metazoa; Chordata; Mammalia; Rodentia; Muridae. The record is from RNAcentral.